GACGAACCGUGCGAACGUUGUUCGGAAUCACUGGGCUUAAAGGGCGCGUAGGCGGGCUGCCAAGUCUGGGGUGAAAUCCCACGGCUCAACCGUGGAACUGCCUCAGAUACUGGCGGCCUCGAGGAGGGUAGGGGCAUGCGGAACUAUGCGUGGAGCGGUGAAAUGCGUUGAUAUGCAUAGGAACUCCGGUGGCGAAGGCGGCGUGCUGGACCCUUUCUGACGCUGAGGCGCGAAAGCCAGGGGAGCAAACGGG
Molecule: ribosomal RNA, 253 nt
Filed under: uncultured bacterium
Lineage: Bacteria
Description: partial 16S ribosomal RNA
Rfam family: Bacterial small subunit ribosomal RNA
Source: RNAcentral